GAUUAACGCUGGCGGCGUGCCUAACACAUGCAAGUCGAGCGGCAGCGAGUUUUACGCUGAAUUCUGGAAGCUUCUAGUUGCAAGAGAAGAUUUAUUCAAGAAUUUUGUGUAAAAUGUCGGCGAGCGGCGGACGGCUGAGUAACGCGUGGGAACGUACCCCAAAGUGAGGGAUACCGCAUCGAAAGGUGUGCUAAUACCGCCUAUGGUCUUCGGAUUAACGCCUUCGGGUGCUUUGGGAACGAACUGCGUACGAUUAGAUAGUUGGAGUGGUAAUGGGCUACCAAGUCGAGGAUCUCUAACUGGGAUGUGAGGAAGAGCACACAGACCGGAACUGGGACACAGUAGAGACUCUUACGGGAGGCAGCAGUGACGAAUCGUCCAAAACCGGCUAAAGGAUGAUGGAGCAAGGCUCGGUGCAGGAUGAAGUUCUUCGGGUUGUAAACUGCUAGUAUAUGUGAGGAUUAUGACAGUAACUAAUGAAUAAGGAUCGGCUAACUACGUG
RNAcentral lists this ribosomal RNA (502 nucleotides) under uncultured bacterium. RNAcentral describes it as "partial 16S ribosomal RNA". It matches the Rfam family "Bacterial small subunit ribosomal RNA", at positions 28 to 507 of the family's 1533-position model. The record is from RNAcentral.